GUUUAAUCCAGCAGGUCAGACCCGAGGGCAGGGCUGUUUCUUCGCUGUAAGCAGGAAAAUCGGAGUCUGGCUGAUCCCUUGUGACGUCACACAGGCACAGCCCGUCCCUGGGAAACUGUGAAUUCUCUCCUGCUGGCACCUGAGCGCCAUGAGACCUGGGCUGGCUUGUGGGACAGAAGAAACCCGAUCCUGAACACGGAGCCUCAGACUCCUUCCUGAAACGUUGACAGCACUAAGCCCAUGGGUGAGAUGAAACUUUAUUCCAAAGGAGAGCCGCACAUCUGAGAAAAACCUGAAUAAAUCCCCAGCUGUGUUCACCAGGGCUCUCAGUGCCCACCUCGGCAUUCUGUGUCACUGUCUCAGUGCCUACCUGGGGCAUUCUGUGUCACUGCCCACACUGACUCUAGUUGUGUCCACAUGUCAAUAAACUUCUAUUUUCUUCUGUUUUGCUAUAAACCUUA
Molecule: long non-coding RNA, 461 nt
Organism: Bos taurus (domestic cattle)
Lineage: Eukaryota; Metazoa; Chordata; Mammalia; Artiodactyla; Bovidae
Source: Ensembl